ACUGUAGCAGCCUGAGGCAGGGCUGGGCAGAAACCUCAGCACAUGUUUGUUGAAAGGUUUGCAGGUGGAUCAAGUCACCCAACUCACAGUCUCAUGUGUCUCGUCUAUUCUCCUGCAGACUCCUGUAGCCCCUAUGCCCAGGGCUCUUCUUGCUCCAGCUAGGGGCUCCUAAAGACAACAGGCCGUCCAGGAGACUUUGAGUUUAUGCCUUGGCCUGCUGGCCCUGGAGAUCCCAUCGUCGGCUUCGUCGAACUCAAAGUCGUCGCCCUACCCUGGCCCGUCGCGUCUUCCUGUGCCAUUUCCUGUUGUGCUCAGGUUCCACGAGCUGCCCAUCUCCAGAGAA
Molecule: long non-coding RNA, 343 nt
Filed under: Rattus norvegicus (Norway rat)
Lineage: Eukaryota; Metazoa; Chordata; Mammalia; Rodentia; Muridae
Description: long non-coding RNA NONRATT024622
Source: RNAcentral